Molecule: long non-coding RNA, 939 nt
Filed under: Zonotrichia albicollis (white-throated sparrow)
Lineage: Eukaryota; Metazoa; Chordata; Aves; Passeriformes; Passerellidae
Description: lncRNA (ENSZALG00000016296.1)
Source: RNAcentral
CAUCUUUUAAAGUCGUUCUGUCAAAUCAUUUAAAUUAGUUUAAAGGGCAGUUCAUCCAAUUUCAGAAAAUACUGCUUGUGUCUUUUCCCACUGCUCCUGGAUUUUGAAAAGUUAUUGCUGAUGUCUCAGGGAAAGGAUUCCAAGUGCAGUGAGAGAGCAAGCAGCUCCCUGCACAAACACACAGCGCCGGUUCUGCAUGAGAAGCAGCGCUGAACUUCCUAGGAAGAGUAUUUUGAGCAGGUCCAGUUGAUAAGCACUCCAGAAUCAAUAUUUCAUGUUAUUCCACUAUACAAAUAUAACACUGAUAGCGGCAGCACUACAAGAGGCUGGAAACAAGUCAAUGUCACAGGCAGUUGGCAUUCAGGCUGCAUGUCCAGCAGGCAGCUCCUGCAGCUCUGGCUGUGCUUUGGGCAGGGCACCGUGUGAUGGAGUGGCAGCGCCAGCCAUGCUCACAGCACCUCUGGGACACUAAAGCAGAGUGCAGUUCUGGUGUAGAAACUGAGGACAGAAAAGUAAGUGCCUUGUUUUAAUGUGAUUUUUCAGGCAGCUCUAGUGGCGGGGAUUUUCUCUGGUUGUUGUUCAGGGGUUUUUUUAUUAAACCAUGUGAAAUUAUUUUAUGGUUCUUAGCAUGUGUAAGUGCUCAUGUUGUAUUUUAACUUCAAUGGGGAGAAAUCAGUCUUACUCUAUUGAAUAUACUUGUUAAAAAUUUGAAUAACUGUUUCAGAAGAAGCAGAAGUGAAUUAUAGUACUAAUCUCUUUGUGCUACAAAAAAAAAGUUUACAAGGCAGUUGCACUUCUUAUUCUUAAUUUACAUUGUUAACAAAGUUAUUGUGAGUCUGUUAUGGUAAAGUUGGCAUACCAUGUUAAAUAUUUGUAAGACAGCAAGAUAAUUGCUUUUUCUUGCUUUAAAAGUAGUACCUUUGAAACCUUAUUUUUUUU